UAAGACGAACCGUCCAAACGUUAUUCGGAAUUACUGGGCUUAAAGGGUGCGUAGGCGGCCUGACAAGUUGGGUGUGAAAUACCUCGGCUCAACCGAGGAAUAGCGCUCAAAACUGCCAGGCUUGAGGGAGAUAGAGGUGAGCGGAACUUAAGGUGGAGCGGUGAAAUGCGUUGAUAUCUUAAGGAACACCCGUGGCGAAAGCGGCUCACUGGAUCUCUUCUGACGCUCAUGCACGAAAGCUAGGGGAGCAAACGGGAUUAGAUACCCCGGUAGUCCUAGCCGUAAACGAUGAGCACUGGGUUGGAGGCCCCUCCAUAGGCUUCCGGCCGAAGCGAAAGUGUUAAGUGCUCCGCCUGGGGAGUAUGGUCGCAAGGCUG
Molecule: ribosomal RNA, 377 nt
Filed under: uncultured bacterium
Lineage: Bacteria
Description: bacterial SSU rRNA
Rfam family: Bacterial small subunit ribosomal RNA
Source: RNAcentral